UCCUUCGGGGUCGGGUGAAAUUCCCAACCGGCGGUGAUUCGUUCAGGUGAACGACAGCCCGCGACCCGGUUGCUAAAUCAGCAAGCGGUGGAUUCCAGUGAGAAGCUGGAGCCGACAGUAAAGUCUGGAUGGGAGAAGGA
Molecule: non-coding RNA, 140 nt
Filed under: uncultured Sporolactobacillus sp.
Lineage: Bacteria; Bacillati; Bacillota; Bacilli; Caryophanales; Sporolactobacillaceae
Description: FMN riboswitch (RFN element)
Rfam family: FMN riboswitch aptamer (RFN element)
About the family: The RFN element is a highly conserved domain that is found frequently in the 5'-untranslated regions of prokaryotic mRNAs that encode for flavin mononucleotide (FMN) biosynthesis and transport proteins. This element is a metabolite-dependent riboswitch that directly binds FMN in the absence of proteins.
Source: RNAcentral